Molecule: long non-coding RNA, 345 nt
Filed under: Nicotiana benthamiana
Lineage: Eukaryota; Viridiplantae; Streptophyta; Magnoliopsida; Solanales; Solanaceae
Description: long non-coding RNA (NBEN_LNC024489)
Source: RNAcentral
AAGAGUGGGAAAAUACGAAAUUGUGGACUUACAUCGAUUGAAAUUAGAGAAAGACGACCAGCAUGGUGACACUUUUCAAGUUUUGACAUAAAUCUCUUGCUCUUGGAUAUCUUUUCUGGUGUAACAUACAAUAUUUUAAGCUCAUCAUCGCCCUUCUCCAAUGCCUUGUAUAUGAACUUCUCAUUUUCCUUACUAGUUGUUGAGGUUAACAUGAAAGCUGGGAUGCCUAAAGCAGCCAACCCCAUGACCUGAGGCAAUAAGUAUAUGAACUUCUCGUUUUCCUUGCUAGUUGUUGAGGUUAACAUGAAAGCUGGGAUGCCUAAAGCAGCCAACCCCAUGACCUGA